AGAAGUUCAAUGUAUUGAUGGAGAAGCUCUGUAAAGAGGAGCUGGCAGCCACCACGUCCAUGGCUUAUGCCAAGCUCAUGCUGACAGUGAUGACCAAGUAUCAGGCCAAUAUCACUGAGACCCAGAGGCUGAGCCUGGCCACCCCCCUAGCACUCAACACCACUUUCCUGAGGAAGUCUCUGCAGGCCACCCUGAGACAUCUGGCCCCCUGACCUUCCACUGAGGGACCCAACCCCCUAGAGCUCUCUCACCAGCUUCCUGAACAACACUUCUGCCCUCACCACCUCUUGCCUGGGGGAAAGGCUGAGCCUGGCCAUCCCGGGGAUCAACUGCCUCCCUGUUCCAGGCUGCAGAGAAGCCAUCUUGGUCUCCCAGGCACCCGGGAGGGUCCUGGCUAAGUGGGCUGGAUGAGCUGGAUUCCAAGGGCUGCUGAUACUGGCUCACUCCUUGUCACUUCUACCUAGCUGCAGGGAUAGAAACGUACCCAUAGGCCUCUGUAGGGUCACAGCCAACCCAUAAUAGACAAAUAAUGCUGCAGGAGCUCUGGGGGACCUGUGUGCUCAGCACAAAUCUCUUGUGCUUGGAUGUAUGUUACGAUCUUCUGUGUUCUUAUUUCUGACUUGAAUGAUAAUUUAUCAAUGGAAUUUAAUAAAAAGCAAGAAGUUCAAUAAUG
Long non-coding RNA from Hipposideros armiger (great roundleaf bat), 673 nucleotides. RefSeq lists it as uncharacterized. The record is from RefSeq and is a predicted model, not a curated record. Lineage: Eukaryota; Metazoa; Chordata; Mammalia; Chiroptera; Hipposideridae. The transcript is spliced from 2 exons.